RNAcentral lists this long non-coding RNA (181 nucleotides) under Haliotis rubra (blacklip abalone). RNAcentral describes it as "uncharacterized LOC124268120". The record is from RNAcentral. Lineage: Eukaryota; Metazoa; Mollusca; Gastropoda; Lepetellida; Haliotidae.
AUGCAUGCAUGCAUGCAACACUUUGGUAUGCAUGUGUGUCUGUAUGUUAUGUAAGUCAGUGUAUAUUUAUUCAUGCAUGCAUGUGUGCAUCAGCAGGGAAGCCCACAACAGAUAUGGAGUUCUUUUGAAUAAUCACCUAAAUUAGUUUCAUAAACUUUCAAAAAAUUUGAACUGUUCUGUC